CCGCGGGAUUCCUUACCAACCCUUGACAUCCUUGGACCGCUAGAGAGAUCUAGUUUUCUCGUAAGAGACCAAGUGACAGGUGCUGCAUGGCUGUCGUCAGCUCGUGUCGUGAGAUGUUCGGUUAAGUCCGGCAACGAGCGCAACCCACAUCUUUAGUUGCCAUCAGGUUAAGCUGGGCACUCUAGAGAAACUGCCCGUGAUAAGCGGGAGGAAGGUGUGGAUGACGUCAAGUCCUCAUGGCCCUUACGGGUUGGGCUACACACGUGCUACAAUGGCAUCAACAAUGGGUUAAUCCCUAAAAGAUGUCUCAGUUCGGAUUGGGGUCUGCAACUCGACCCCAUGAAGUUGGAAUCGCUAGUAAUCGCGUAACAGCAUGACGCGGUGAGUACGUUCCCGGGUCUUGUACACACCGAAU
This 415-nucleotide ribosomal RNA is filed under the name uncultured marine bacterium. RNAcentral describes it as "bacterial SSU rRNA". It matches the Rfam family "Bacterial small subunit ribosomal RNA", at positions 959 to 1395 of the family's 1533-position model. The record is from RNAcentral.